GACGAACGCUGGCGGCGUGCUUAACACAUGCAAGUCGAACGGUAAGGCCCUUCGGGGUACACGAGUGGCGAACGGGUGAGUAACACGUGGGUGAUCUGCCCCGCACUUCGGGAUAAGCCUGGGAAACUGGGUCUAAUACCGGAUAGGACUCCGGACUGCAUGGUCUGGGGUGGAAAGCUUUUGCGGUGUGGGAUGGGCCCGCGGCCUAUCAGCUUGUUGGUGGGGUGAUGGCCUACCAAGGCGACGACGGGUAGCCGGCCUGAGAGGGUGACCGGCCACACUGAGACUGAGAUACGGCCCAGACUCCUACGGGAGGCAGCAGUGGGGAAUAUUGCACAAUGGGCGCAAGCCUGAUGCAGCGACGCCGCGUGAGGGAUGACGGCCUUCGGGUUGUAAACCUCUUUCAGCAUCGACGAAGCGAAAGUGACGGUAGGUGCAGAAGAAGGACCGGCCAACUACGUGCCAGCCGCCGUCGUAA
RNAcentral lists this ribosomal RNA (478 nucleotides) under uncultured bacterium. RNAcentral's name for it is "partial 16S ribosomal RNA". It matches the Rfam family "Bacterial small subunit ribosomal RNA", at positions 28 to 523 of the family's 1533-position model. The record is from RNAcentral.